CCUUCACAGCUUGAAUAUAAGAAAGACAUCAUGAAAAUUUAUUGAUUCAUCGUUCACCAUUCAUUUCAACAUCAUAGAAUGAAUACCUAUAAAGUUGGACACGGGGGGUUAGGCUAACUAUUUGAAAAAUUGUACUAGGAUUAUAUGUUUUUUCAAGGAUGAAGAGUGAGAACUAAAUUAACUAAAAAAACAUGUAGCAAUAACAAAACUAUAGCAAUGGUGAGAAAUAUUGUGUUUCUCAAACGUAAGAACAAUUGCAGAGGUCCAUUUUCAAUGAUAAGUCUCUUCAGAAGAAUACUAGGAUGACAAGAUUAGUCAUCUAUUCAUUGUAGAGUUCAGUUAUUAAAAUGCUAUAACAAGUGCAAAUAAAACAGACAAGUUAGGUGUAUAAUGAUACUCGAUUUCAAUAAGUUAAAUACUUUAUUGUAAGCUUUAGAUGAUACCCCAGUUACAAACUGUAUUCUGAACUCAUCUUGAUGUUAAUCAGUAAUGCAAUAAAAUAGAUGAUUACCACAAGAGAACACCAUAUAUAAUCAAUCAUCAAAAUAAAGUAACUAAAUUAAUUUCAGUAGUUACGUACUUAGAAAUAAAUAAACAAAGCCAGGACUAUACCUACUUUCAAGCACUAAACUUCUUCAAUUUGGGCCCAAAUUAAAACCAACCAGCUUUACCAUCAAAUCCACACCUCACUGGACCAAAUUUCACCAAAGUCCAAAUCUUGAAACCUAUAAAACAUAGUAAUAGGUAACAGAGAUAAUGAAAGAAGUUAGAAAUUAUGUGUACUAAACAAUUUUUCAAAAUAACCGCAAGUAAAUGAUUCAAGGAACUCAUGUUUUUUUUGCUAAAGAUUCAACUAUGCAAAAGGCUACUGACUAGAGAGAUAAGAAAAGAGAUUAACUGAAAAGAUCUUCUUUUCCUCUUUUUGACUCUGGAUUUAAAAAAAAUUGGCAAUCUCCUACUUCUUGAGGAUUCUCAUUCAUUAGCACAAAAACACAAGUCUUCAUCCUUGCAUUCGAAAGAACAUAUCAGAAGAGACAUAUAUUUUCAAAAUUUCUUUGCUUACACGAUUUAAGAAUUUACAGGAGAUAUUUUCAUUCUGGUAUCCUCUGCCUCCAAGACACUUUUUUGAAUCUAACCCUAGCCGCCAUCCUCAUACCAAACUCCAUCUU
Molecule: long non-coding RNA, 1169 nt
Filed under: Solanum tuberosum (potato)
Lineage: Eukaryota; Viridiplantae; Streptophyta; Magnoliopsida; Solanales; Solanaceae
Description: long non-coding RNA (STUB_LNC009086)
Source: RNAcentral